This 484-nucleotide ribosomal RNA is filed under the name uncultured bacterium. RNAcentral describes it as "partial 16S ribosomal RNA". It matches the Rfam family "Bacterial small subunit ribosomal RNA", at positions 30 to 507 of the family's 1533-position model. The record is from RNAcentral.
AUUGAACGCUGGCGGCAGGCCUAACACAUGCAAGUCGAGCGGAUGAAGGGAGCUUGCUCCUGGAUUCAGCGGCGGACGGGUGAGUAAUGCCUAGGAAUCUGCCUGGUUGUGUGGGAUAACGUCCGGAAACGGGCGCUAAUACCGCAUACGUCCUGAGGGAGAAAGUGGGGGAUCUUCGGACCUCACGCUAUCAGAUGAGCCUAGGUCGGAUUAGCUAGUUGGUGGGGUAAAGGCCUACCAAGGCGACGAUCCGUAACUGGUCUGAGAGGAUGAUCAGUCACACGGGAACUGAGACACGGUCCAGACUACUACGGGAGGCAGCAGUGGGGAAUAUUGGACAAUGGGCGAAAGCAUGAUCCAGCCAUGCAGCGUGUGUGAAGAAGGACUUCGGAUGGUAAAGAACUUUAAGUUGGGAGGAAGGGAAGUAAGUUAAUACCUUGCUGUAUUGACGUUACCAACAGAAUAAGCACCGGCUAACUUCGUG